CCUCGGCAGGGCUGGCUCCUCGCCUCUCCACGCCAGGCUGUUCACGUCCCUUCCGUUCCCAAGUGCUUGUGUGCUCACUCACUUGCACCGUCCUGCAGUGGCCCACGAGGCAGGCCAGCGUGUGUAUUAGGGAGCGCUCCCUGGGAAUGUGACUUUCCCAAGGUCACCUGGAUAGGCUGUCUCCUCCUCUGAGGUCCCCACCUCCAAACCCCACUUUCCCCACAUGUGGCCUGAACAGACCAUCACAAAGCUUUAGAGGCUUCUUCCGAGGACACCAGGCAUUGGCUCUGGGUCAGUGGAGCUUCCAGAACCUUGGAAUUCUGCCCUGGGCCACGUGUCUGGAACUUGCCCAUCUCCUGGUGGUUGGCAGAUCUGAUGCAGGCCUGAGAACGUCUUCACACGGUGGAGGAGGCUUUUGGGGUGACUGACCACUGGGCUGGACAUUGCCCCAGGUGUGGUUCCCGUGGAAGUGGUGAGUCACAGCCGUGGUUGCUGGCCUGCUGCUGUACCCAUCUGCCUGUCUGCAGGCGUCUCACUUCCUCCUGAGAUGGAGAGAGACAAGGGCCCUGGGUGCUGGGGCACCAGCUGCUUCGGCCCUGCCUGGUUACUUCAUCUUCCUCAACUCACUUUGCUGUUCACCACCCAUCACCGUUACCACCUGGAAUCACCCGGAGAAGAGUGGAAGGAAACGUGAAAAGUAUGUGUGUCAUCACGUCAGGCUCUGGGGCUGCCCAGAUUUGCCCUGAGCUAACGUCUGUUGCCAAUCUUCCUGUAUUUCGUUUGUGAGCUGCUGUCGCAGCAUGACCACUGACAGAGGAGUGGUGUAGAUCUUUGCCCAGGACCUGAACCUGGGCCACCGAAGUGGAG
Molecule: long non-coding RNA, 867 nt
Filed under: Equus caballus (horse)
Lineage: Eukaryota; Metazoa; Chordata; Mammalia; Perissodactyla; Equidae
Description: lncRNA (ENSECAG00000057319.1)
Source: RNAcentral